AGUCUUCUGUAUCCGUGCUGAGAUUUCGUCACAUACAAGACCACAAGGGCUGAUGAGACUUCCAAGAUAAGUGAAGCG
This 78-nucleotide microRNA precursor is filed under the name Schistosoma curassoni. RNAcentral describes it as "mir-3492 microRNA precursor family". It matches the Rfam family "mir-3492 microRNA precursor family". The record is from Rfam by way of RNAcentral. Lineage: Eukaryota; Metazoa; Platyhelminthes; Trematoda; Strigeidida; Schistosomatidae.